CGUGCUUCUAGUGCCGGUUCCUCGUCCGAGGUGAACCCCUGGAAUGUGCUAGCUGAAAAUGUGGGUGUUGUCAGGGGUUCAGGAGCAGAGGCACAGGAAAGGGAGGAAAUAGAGAGCGAGGGGGAGGAGUCCGAAGGAAAUGUUAGCGAUGACAGCGGUCCGAGGUCUCUGAGUCUUUCCAGCGAAUCGGAAGAUUCACAGAAAGGGGCUCCCUUGGUCAGAGCAAGGGGGUGCCGAGGGGACACCCCAGGAAGAAGGGGCCAGAGGGGACUCAGAGAGCAGCAGUUGGAAAUCAGGACCAGCGUCCACACCAGAGUGCAGUAGGGGAGGAGUCCCAGGCAUCGGGAUCAGGCGGCGCACUGCCAGUGGGAGGACAUGAGUCAGGAUUGGCCACGCCUCCAUCGGGGAGCGAGGAAACGGUCGAGAGGAAGGUUGAAGGCUGGGCGCGCGCGCAAAGUUCAAAUGUACAGGAGGGCGGCGCAGUUGGCAGCCCGGAUAGGGAGCCAGGUCCCAAAGCCCGCCGAAAGAGGGGGAGGAGUCAGGAGGGUCAGCGUCAGAAGAAUCCAGGAAGGAAGGGACCCCGGGGGGUAGCAGGACCCAGAGGAGAAAGGAGAGACGUAAGAGGUGGAGUAAGGCUAGAAUCUUAAACUGGUGUACAGGGGGGCGGAGACUCAGAUGGAGCUUCGCCGAUCUAACCCCUAGACGUAGAGCUGGGGCGCUCCGGCUUGAAAAUGGAAAUUGUACUUCAAUAAAGACUUUUGCACAUUACUGCCGGCUAGCGUUGGUCCUCUGUGAGCUGGGACCUGGAGCCAGCUCUGACAGGUGUGAAAAGCCAGUCGUCGAAAUACUCGGCUGGCAUGGGCCUGUGUGGGAAAAGUGCAUGGAACUCGUCCUUGAGCCAAGAUUCCUCCAGAGCAUAAUCUGGCACCCAACUGUUGGCGCUAGCCGGGGUACCUUCCUUGGCGAGGAGGUAUUCCACUCCCUCCUCCCCCCAUCUCGAGUCUAAAAUCUCUGUGACUUCGUUGACGGGUUCCCGCCUUGGCGACCCCCCCCUUGUGGGCGUUUCCCUGAACGGGUCUGGUGCCGUUCCUGGCUCCUGAAAUCUAUGAGGUGCUUUGUAGGGCGUGAGCACUGAUCUAUGGAAAACUGGGUGCAUUCU
Podarcis lilfordi (Lilford's wall lizard) is the source of this 1159-nucleotide non-coding RNA. Lineage: Eukaryota; Metazoa; Chordata; Lepidosauria; Squamata; Lacertidae. The record is from the annotation of a GenBank genome assembly.